RNAcentral lists this ribosomal RNA (676 nucleotides) under Escherichia coli. Its description in RNAcentral is "partial 23S ribosomal RNA". It matches the Rfam family "Bacterial large subunit ribosomal RNA", at positions 2259 to 2925 of the family's 2925-position model. The record is from RNAcentral. Lineage: Bacteria; Pseudomonadati; Pseudomonadota; Gammaproteobacteria; Enterobacterales; Enterobacteriaceae.
UGGUGGGUAGUUUGACUGGGGCGGUCUCCUCCUAAAGAGUAACGGAGGAGCACGAAGGUUGGCUAAUCCUGGUCGGACAUCAGGAGGUUAGUGCAAUGGCAUAAGCCAGCUUGACUGCGAGCGUGACGGCGCGAGCAGGUGCGAAAGCAGGUCAUAGUGAUCCGGUGGUUCUGAAUGGAAGGGCCAUCGCUCAACGGAUAAAAGGUACUCCGGGGAUAACAGGCUGAUACCGCCCAAGAGUUCAUAUCGACGGCGGUGUUUGGCACCUCGAUGUCGGCUCAUCACAUCCUGGGGCUGAAGUAGGUCCCAAGGGUAUGGCUGUUCGCCAUUUAAAGUGGUACGCGAGCUGGGUUUAGAACGUCGUGAGACAGUUCGGUCCCUAUCUGCCGUGGGCGCUGGAGAACUGAGGGGGGCUGCUCCUAGUACGAGAGGACCGGAGUGGACGCAUCACUGGUGUUCGGGUUGUCAUGCCAAUGGCACUGCCCGGUAGCUAAAUGCGGAAGAGAUAAGUGCUGAAAGCAUCUAAGCACGAAACUUGCCCCGAGAUGAGUUCUCCCUGACUCCUUGAGAGUCCUGAAGGAACGUUGAAGACGACGACGUUGAUAGGCCGGGUGUGUAAGCGCAGCGAUGCGUUGAGCUAACCGGUACUAAUGAACCGUGAGGCUUAACCUUACAA